Molecule: non-coding RNA, 91 nt
Organism: Pseudomonas fluorescens
Lineage: Bacteria; Pseudomonadati; Pseudomonadota; Gammaproteobacteria; Pseudomonadales; Pseudomonadaceae
Source: Rfam
UGACCAGGGGGCCGGGACGUUCUGACGGAUGAGCGUCGGAGUGACCUACGGGCACAAGGGGUGCCUGCGAAAGGGCCGGGUCAGGUAAAAG